This 85-nucleotide transfer RNA is filed under the name bacterium. RNAcentral's name for it is "tRNA-Leu". It matches the Rfam family "tRNA". Rfam says of the family: Transfer RNA (tRNA) molecules are approximately 80 nucleotides in length. The record is from RNAcentral.
GGGCAGGUGGCGGAACUGGUAUACGCGUUAGCCUUAGGAGCUAAUGGGGUAACCCUUGGGAGUUCGAGUCUCCCCCUGCCCACCA